GAGUUUGAUCCUGGCUCAGGAUGAACGCUAGCGGCAGGCUUAAUACAUGCAAGUCGAGGGGCAGCACGGUUAGCAAUAACUGGUGGCGACCGGCGCACGGGUGCGUAACACGUAUACAAUCUACCUUAAACAGGGGGAUAGCCUUUCGAAAGAGAGAUUAAUACCCCGUAAUAAAUUGAACGGCAUCGUUUGAUUUGAAAGCUCCGGCGGUUUGAGAUGAGUAUGCGUCUGAUUAGCUAGUUGGUGAGGUAACGGCUCACCAAGGCGACGAUCAGUAGGGGAUCUGAGAGGAUAACCCCCACACUGGUACUGAGACACGGACCAGACUCCUACGGGAGGCAGCAGUAAGGAAUAUUGGUCAAUGGAGGCAACUCUGAACCAGCCAUGCCGCGUGCAGGAUGACGGCCCUAUGGGUUGUAAACUGCUUUUUAUACAAGAGAAAACCCUGGUACGUGUACCAGGUUGAUAGUAUUGUAAGAAUAAGCAUCGGCUAACUUCGUG
Molecule: ribosomal RNA, 501 nt
Filed under: uncultured bacterium
Lineage: Bacteria
Description: bacterial SSU rRNA
Rfam family: Bacterial small subunit ribosomal RNA
Source: RNAcentral